UACUAGGCUAGGCGAAGUGUUUUACCUAGUUCCUUAAACCGCGAUUUCCCUACUGCUGAAUAAAGAUGCUAGGAAUCUCUUCAGCUAGUAGGGAGUUUUUAAGCUUGUUUUUUUCGAUACAGGGUUUCUGUGUGUUGUUCUGACUGUGCUGGAACUGAUUGUAGACCAAAGGGGCUACAAACCCGCCUGCCUAAUGCCUCCCAGAUGCUGGGAUUUAAGGCGGUUACCACCACACGCUGCUGCUUUUUAAAAAACUAAACAGAUGGCAACUAACAAGCCUUCGAGCCUGCUAGAGGCCCCAGUUGGUACGGUAAUACUUAUUCACCAAGCUGGUCAUCGACGAGAGUGAGGAUAUCCUAGACGGAGCAAGAAUGGGCAGAGGCUGAAGAACCUACUAUGAAGCUUACUUUUCAAGCACAGAAAAUUUGGUCUACAUAGCCUCUUUUACAAGGUGACAGUUUUUUUUAACCUUAAAGUAGAGGAAAAUGAAAAAUGGACAAGAAAACUUUGGAGAUAAAAUGCAUUGGCUCCUAGUGUCCAGAAAGACAUGCACGGAAAGAACGCAGAGUUAGCUAAAGAAAUACCACAGUUUAUUGAAGACUACAAAUAUUUUGUUACAAGUUGGAACUACAUGCCUUCCAGAAAUCAAAAGCAACAGCAGGUGUGUGCAUUGAUGCUUCGGAGGUGCUGCAUGGCUCGAACUCGAAAUGGAACUACAGAGAAGAGUCACACCAUCCUCACUUUGUGGAGAAGAUCCUUCAGUCCCACUUACCGGUUUCUGCUGAGCCGGCUGAGGGCUGGAGGACUGGUUGUCUGAAGACCCCGGAGACAUCUGUGGAGC
Long non-coding RNA from Mus caroli (Ryukyu mouse), 841 nucleotides. RefSeq lists it as uncharacterized. Lineage: Eukaryota; Metazoa; Chordata; Mammalia; Rodentia; Muridae. The record is from RefSeq and is a predicted model, not a curated record.